RNAcentral lists this ribosomal RNA (507 nucleotides) under uncultured bacterium. Its description in RNAcentral is "partial 16S ribosomal RNA". It matches the Rfam family "Bacterial small subunit ribosomal RNA", at positions 28 to 507 of the family's 1533-position model. The record is from RNAcentral.
GACGAACGCUGGCGGCGUGCCUAAUACAUGCAAGUCGAGCGCAUUUUCUUUUACCGUUGCUUGCUUCACCGACAGAAAAUGAGUAGCGAACGGGUGAGUACCACGCUGGUAACUUACCCAUCAGCGGGGGAUCACACUUGGAAACAGGUCCUAAUACCGAAUAAUUCUAUUUGCCGCCUGGUACAGUGUUGAAAGGCCCUUUUGCGUCACUGCUGGAUGGUCCCGCGGUGCAUUAGCUAGGUGGUGGGGUAACGGCCUACCAAGGCUGUGAUGCAUAGCCGACCUGAGACGGUGAGCGGCCAGACUGGGAGUGAGACACGGCCCAGACUCCUACGGGAGCGGGCAGUAGGGAAUCUUCGGCAAUGGACGCAAGUCUGACCGAGCAGCGCGGCGUGAGUGAGGAAGGUUUUCGGAUCGUAAAACUCUGUUGUUAGAGUAGAACAAGGAUGAGAGUGGAAAGAUGAGCCCGUGACAGUAUCUAAACAGGAAGCCACGGCUAACUACGUG